RNAcentral lists this ribosomal RNA (496 nucleotides) under uncultured bacterium. RNAcentral's name for it is "partial 16S ribosomal RNA". It matches the Rfam family "Bacterial small subunit ribosomal RNA", at positions 29 to 507 of the family's 1533-position model. The record is from RNAcentral.
AUGAACGCUGGCGGCGUGCCUAAUACAUGCAAGUCGAGCGAACGGACGAGAAGCUUGCUUCUCUGAUGUUAGCGGCGGACGGGUGAGUAACACGUGGAUAACCUACCUAUAAGACUGGGAUAACUUCGGGAAACCGUAGCUAAUACCGGAUAAUAUUUUGAACCGCAUGGUUCAAAAGUGAAAGACGGUCUUGCUGUCACUUAUAGAUGGAUCCGCGCUGCAUUAGCUAGUUGGUAAGGUAACGGCUUACCAAGGCAACGAUGCAUAGCCGACCUGAGAGGGUGAUCGGCCACACUGGAACUGAGACACGGUCCAGACUCCUACGGGAGGCAGCAGUAGGGAAUCGUCCGCAAUGGGCGAAAGCCUGACGGAGCAACGCCGCGUGAGUGAUGAAGGUCUUCGGAUCGUAAAACUCUGUUAUUAGGGAAGAACAUAUGUGUAAGUAACUGUGCACAUCUUGACGGUACCUAAUCAGAAAGCCACGGCUAACUACGUG